This 465-nucleotide ribosomal RNA is filed under the name uncultured Klebsiella sp. RNAcentral's name for it is "bacterial SSU rRNA". It matches the Rfam family "Bacterial small subunit ribosomal RNA", at positions 338 to 795 of the family's 1533-position model. The record is from RNAcentral. Lineage: Bacteria; Pseudomonadati; Pseudomonadota; Gammaproteobacteria; Enterobacterales; Enterobacteriaceae.
CCUACGGGGGGCAGCAGUGGGGAAUAUUGCACAAUGGGCGCAAGCCUGAUGCAGCCAUGCCGCGUGUGUGAAGAAGGCCUUCGGGUUGUAAAGCACUUUCAGCGGGGAGGAAGGCGGUGAGGUUAAUAACCUCAUCGAUUGACGUUACCCGCAGAAGAAGCACCGGCUAACUCCGUGCCAGCAGCCGCGGUAAUACGGAGGGUGCAAGCGUUAAUCGGAAUUACUGGGCGUAAAGCGCACGCAGGCGGUCUGUCAAGUCGGAUGUGAAAUCCCCGGGCUCAACCUGGGAACUGCAUUCGAAACUGGCAGGCUAGAGUCUUGUAGAGGGGGGUAGAAUUCCAGGUGUAGCGGUGAAAUGCGUAGAGAUCUGGAGGAAUACCGGUGGCGAGGGCGGCCCCCUGGACAAAGACUGACGCUCAGGUGCGAAAGCGUGGGGAGCAAACAGGAUUAGAUACCCGAGUAGUC